CGUUUUACCUGGUCAAUAUUAGAGUCGCUUUGCGCCAAAUACUUCUAAUACUGUCAGGUAAUGACGAU
RNAcentral lists this microRNA precursor (68 nucleotides) under Panagrellus redivivus. RNAcentral describes it as "microRNA prd-mir-236 precursor". Its record names the gene prd-mir-236. Lineage: Eukaryota; Metazoa; Nematoda; Chromadorea; Rhabditida; Panagrolaimidae. The record is from miRBase by way of RNAcentral.